UCAAACGACGACUGUGAGAAGACAAACUCGUCGAAAGUCGUAUACUAAUAUUACUAAUUUAAUACCUAUUGAAUUUUCGGAAUACGCCGUCGACGAUCCGCGCCACGGACCGACCAAUCUUACCGGUGUUUAUGGGACAUUUGGAGGGGGGGAGAAGGGUAGUAGUCCCCCGUCCCCCCGGUCGAAAGCGGACUGCAGUCGGUGGUGCAAUUUAAAUAGGAAAAAAUUACCUACCCGGCUUAAGUCCAUACCAAUCCUCCCUUCUGGAGAAGCCACAUAUUAGGGAACCUAACCGAGGAGAAAUUGAGGGAAAAACCGCCUGAAACAGUGAACCUCGAACACCACCUCACUUCCGUCCAGAAAACAACGUUAGGCAGAACGACUCUGCACUUAACAGGUCACAUCACAGGUGGUCUGCUGCCGACAUAAACGAAAAAAAAUUGGCAACUCGAGUUGGCACUCGACGACAACCGGUAUAUAGGUAGGUAGUAUAGUUCGGUGGCUUAAAAAAAAA
Metopolophium dirhodum (rose-grain aphid) is the source of this 514-nucleotide long non-coding RNA. RefSeq lists it as uncharacterized. The transcript has 3 exons. Lineage: Eukaryota; Metazoa; Arthropoda; Insecta; Hemiptera; Aphididae. The record is from RefSeq and is a predicted model, not a curated record.